This 362-nucleotide ribosomal RNA is filed under the name uncultured delta proteobacterium. Its description in RNAcentral is "bacterial SSU rRNA". It matches the Rfam family "Bacterial small subunit ribosomal RNA", at positions 124 to 504 of the family's 1533-position model. Lineage: Bacteria; Deltaproteobacteria. The record is from RNAcentral.
AUCUGCCCUUCAGUCCGGGACAACUUUCCGAAAGGGGAGCUAAUACCGGAUAACAAUGUUUGACAUAAGUUGAAUAUUUGAAAGCUCCGGCGCUGAUGGAUGAGUCUGCGUCCCAUUAGCUUGUUGGUGCGGUAGCGGCGCACCAAGGCUACGAUGGGUAGCGGGUUUGAGAGGACGAUCCGCCACACUGGAACUGAGACACGGUCCAGACUCCUACGGGAGGCAGCAGUGGGGAAUAUUGCACAAUGGAGGAAACUCUGAUGCAGCAAUGCCGCGUGAGUGAAGAAGGCCCUUGGGUCGUAAAGCUCUUUUAUGGGGGAAAGAUGAUGACGGUACCCCAGGAAUAAGCCCCGGCUAACUAC